AAACUAAUGUGGAUGCUCCCAUUCAUUUGUCAGAGGUGGAGGACGCAGGAAGGGUGUUAAGCGUUUCCCUUGAUGAUUAUAACAUGCAGCCCGAGCAUGAAAUCCCUGCCCGACCCUCAGUGACCACCUUCUAAACAGGUGGGGGAGCAGCAGGGCUGCUCCCCAGUUUCUGCCCACGGCCAGCCAAGGAAAAAUUGCGAAUGCCAAGGUGACACAGAUCUGAGCUGUUGACUGCAUAGUCCUGUCCUUGAACUCUGCUGGGUGAGUCCCCAUGAGUGGACAAGAGCCACUUCCCAGGCCCCUUCCUCAAUCACCUGACCCCGACUGGGCCCUUCUGAGGCUGCAGAGCAGGUGCCUUGAGCUGAGGCUCAAGUCUCCAAGAUGAAGGUCCAGAGGGAAGAGAUGAGAGAUGCAUCUAGACAGGAGCUUGGAGAUGAACGAGGAGCCCUCGUGGGUGCCCCUUGAGGAUUCAGCAGAGCACUGACCUAUAUGUGAGGAAACGGUGAAGGCCAGGGAAAGAACCACCGAAAAAGUUUAGAGACAACAGUGUCUAGUGCCCAGAGAGAACCUGAAAUAGCACAUUUCCACAAGACAUCAGGCACCUAAUCUCAUUCAGAAGAUUGUCCCGCUCAAUGGGGCUAUUAUUAACCCUGGACAAAAUACUGCCCUAGUCCUAACAAAUCUUAAAAGCAAGACUCUAAAAGAUCAAACUGUUUCCAAAUAAUUUGUCUGCAAUGAAGCUCAGAAUAUUUAUAGAAAUAUAAAAAUAUCUAUCGUAGUAAUCAAAAUUCAUAAUGUCUGAUGAUCAAAGAUUAUCCAACGGGUUAAGAAAAAACACACGACCCUUAGUGGGAAGAAAAAGCAGACAAAUGUGGCCUGGAACUGACAGUAAAACAGCUAUCAUAAGUAUAUUCCCUAUGUUUGGAAAUUAUGUAGUGACAAGGGAAGAUACAGAAAAGAUUCAAAUUGAGCACCUGGACAGAAAACCAAUGCACCAGAAAGAAUUUCACCAGAUGGCAGUCCUGGCAGAUCAGACGUCACAGAAGAUUAGUGAAUCCAAAGAGAUGAGUGACCUGAAGAGUUCUUUAGCCACUAAAGAUAUGUGCAGUUCACAAGCUCUCCACUAAGAAAGCCAAGAUGGUUUCACUGGGAAUUCUCUCAAACGUUUAAGGAAAAAAGAACACCAGUUCCAUACAAACCCUUAUAAGAAAGGAAAAAGAGGAAACAUUUGCAACUCUGAGACAAAUACACUACAAGAAAACAAGACAGCACUAUUCUACGAUCACAAAUGCAAAAACUCAUGAAAUGUUAGCAAACUGAAACCAACAGUACAUCAAAAAUUCAUACACCACUAGGCAAGUCAGAUUUAUCCAAGGACUGCUGGAUGGUCUUACCAACUGAGACGUCAAACAAUGCAAAGAACUAAAAUAACAAAAGUCAUAUGAUCAUCUUAACAGUCAUAAAAGAAGUCAUCAAAAUCCAACAGGUACUUCUGGUAAUUUCUCAGCAAACUAGGAAUGGAAAGGAGCUUCCUCAACCUGACAAAUGGGUAUUUUUAGAAAACAAAACAAAACAAAACACCACCAAAAAAAUGCCCAACACUCAACAUCAUAUUCAAUGAUGAAGGACCGAAGGCUUUUCCCACUAGGAGCAGGAGCUAAACAAGAGAGUGUGGGUUUACCACUUCUACUCACCACUGUUCUGGAGGUUCUGAGCAGUGCAGGGACACAAGACAGGAAAUAAAAGGCAUGCAGACUAGAAAGAAGUGAAACCACCUCUAUUCAUAGGUGAUGUGAUUGCUUAGGUAGAAAAUCCCAUGGAAUCUACAAAAAGCUACUAGAAGCGAGGUCAGCAAGAGAGCAGGGUACUAGAGUGAUACACAAAAAACAAUUUCUAUUUCUAUAUACUAGCAAGAACCAGAAAUUAAAACUUAUACCAUACUACUGCUUGUAAUACCACCAAACGUACGAAACGCUUAAGAGUAUUUCAUAGAAGAUGUACAAGACCUACACACCAGAACCAGAAAUCCUUACUGAGAAAUCAAGGAAAAGCAAACAAAGCUGUGCCGUGUCAUCAGUUGGCACGCCUGGUACCAUCAAGACAUCAACGUUCCCCACAUUAAUCUAGAAUUUGACACAAUCCUAAUCAAAAUGCUAGUAGGCUUUAUUUUUUAGAAAUUGGCAAACAUCAUAAAAUUCAUACGGAAAUACAAAAGAACAGUACAUGUGUACUCAAGUGAAUAAAAUUCCUUAAAAAAUCGGAUAAUACCAAGUGUUAGCAAGAACAUAGAAAAACGGAGCUCUCACGUACUGCUGCCCAGAUACAAGAUGGUAUAGCCAUUUUGAAAACAGAAAAUGUCCUAAAGUCAAAUGUACACUUGCCUUAUGACUCUGAGACUACUUCUAGAUAUUUACCCAUGUCCACAUGAGACUUAUUCCUUCAGGUUCAGAACAGCUUUAUUCCUACCAACUGCAAACUGUCAGUUAUCCUGGUGAAAGGCUGUAGCUGUACUCCCCAGCAACAAAGAAACAAACUACUGGAACUGGGUGCAGACAACUGCCCCACACAGGUUCCACCGAUGAGACUUAAACUGGUCCAACAGACCAACAGCAAGGAAGUCAGUGAUCCGCCAGGACCAGGUCAGGAGAACGAACUCUUUGAAGUGAUGUAAAUAUUCUAGGGAUCCCUGGGUGGCGCAGCGGUUUGGCGCCUGCCUUUGGCCCAGGGCGCGAUCCUGGAGACCCGGGAUCGAAUCCCACAUCGGGCUCCCGGUGCAUGGAGCCUGCUUCUCCCUCUGCC
Molecule: long non-coding RNA, 2799 nt
Organism: Canis lupus familiaris (dog)
Lineage: Eukaryota; Metazoa; Chordata; Mammalia; Carnivora; Canidae
Exons: 3
Source: RefSeq, a predicted model, not a curated record